Molecule: transfer RNA, 68 nt
Filed under: Favella ehrenbergii
Lineage: Eukaryota; Ciliophora; Spirotrichea; Tintinnida; Xystonellidae
Rfam family: tRNA
About the family: Transfer RNA (tRNA) molecules are approximately 80 nucleotides in length. Their secondary structure includes four short double-helical elements and three loops (D, anti-codon, and T loops). Further hydrogen bonds mediate the characteristic L-shaped molecular structure. tRNAs have two regions of fundamental functional importance: the anti-codon, which is responsible for specific mRNA codon recognition, and the 3' end, to which the tRNAs corresponding amino acid is attached (by aminoacyl-tRNA synthetases). tRNAs cope with the degeneracy of the genetic code in two manners: having more than one tRNA (with a specific anti-codon) for a particular amino acid; and 'wobble' base-pairing, i.e. permitting non-standard base-pairing at the 3rd anti-codon position.
Source: RNAcentral
CCUAUAGCUUAGUCGGUAGAGCGCCAGACUAAUAAUCUGGAGGUCGUGGGUUCGAUCCCCACUGGGAC